UUCCAGACUCCUACGGGAGGCAGCAGUGAGGAAUAUUGGUCAAUGGGCGGGAGCCUGAACCAGCCAAGCCGCGUGAAGGAAGAAGGCGCCAGGCGUCGUAAACUUCUUUUGUCGGGGAACAAAGGGCGCCACGUGUGGCGUUGUGAGUGUACCCGAAGAAAAAGCAUCGGCUAACUCCGUGCCAGCAGCCGCGGUAAUACGGAGGAUGCGAGCGUUAUCCGGAUUUAUUGGGUUUAAAGGGUGCGCAGGCGGCACGGCAAGCCGGCGGUCAAAUCGCGGGGCUCAACCCCGCCCAGCCGUCGGAACUGCCGGGCUAGAGUGGGCGAGAAGUGCGCGGAAUGCGUGGUGUAGCGGUGAAAUGCAUAGAUAUCACGCAGAACUCCGAUUGCGAAGGCAGCGCACCGGCGCCCUACUGACGCUCAGGCACGAAAGCGUGGGUAUCGAACAGGAUUAGAUACCCCCGUAAU
RNAcentral lists this ribosomal RNA (467 nucleotides) under uncultured bacterium. RNAcentral describes it as "bacterial SSU rRNA". It matches the Rfam family "Bacterial small subunit ribosomal RNA", at positions 329 to 794 of the family's 1533-position model. The record is from RNAcentral.